Molecule: ribosomal RNA, 238 nt
Filed under: uncultured bacterium
Lineage: Bacteria
Description: partial 16S ribosomal RNA
Rfam family: Bacterial small subunit ribosomal RNA
Source: RNAcentral
CGUGAGCAAUCUGCCCAUAUCAGGGGGAUAACAGUUGGAAACGACUGAUAAUACCGCAUAAUAUUGUUGGAAGGCAUCUUCCGACAAUCAAAGAUUUAUCGGAUAUGGAUGAGCUCGCGUCUGAUUAGCUUGUUGGUGAGGUAACGGCUCACCAAGGCGACGAUCAGUAGCCGACCUGAGAGGGUGAUCGGCCACAUUGGGACUGAGACACGGCCCAAACUCCUACGGGAGGCAGCAG